RNAcentral lists this ribosomal RNA (404 nucleotides) under uncultured bacterium. Its description in RNAcentral is "bacterial SSU rRNA". It matches the Rfam family "Bacterial small subunit ribosomal RNA", at positions 917 to 1344 of the family's 1533-position model. The record is from RNAcentral.
GGGCCCGCACAAGCGGUGGAGUAUGUGGUUUAAUUCGAUGCAACGCGAAGAACCUUACCAGGGUUUGACAUCCUGCGAAUCUCUUGGAAACGAGAGAGUGCCUUCGGGAGCGCAGUGACAGGUGGUGCAUGGCUGUCGUCAGCUCGUGUCGUGAGAUGUUGGGUUAAGUCCCGCAACGAGCGCAACCCACGUCUUUAGUUGCCAGCAUUCAGUUGGGCACUCUAGAGAGACCGCCGGUGAUAAACCGGAGGAAGGUGUGGAUGACGUCAAGUCAUCAUGCCCCUUACGGGUUGGGCUACACACGUGCUACAAUGGUGCCUACAGUGGGUUAAUCCCCAAAAGGCAUCUCAGUUCGGAUUGGGGUCUGCAACUCGACCCCAUGAAGUCGGAAUCGCUAGUAAUCG